Long non-coding RNA from Onychostoma macrolepis, 292 nucleotides. RefSeq lists it as uncharacterized. NCBI's taxonomy places the organism in Eukaryota, Metazoa, Chordata, Actinopteri, Cypriniformes, Cyprinidae. The record is from RefSeq and is a predicted model, not a curated record. The transcript is spliced from 3 exons.
UCUGCGCUGUGUGUCGAUGCACCUUACGAGAGAAAAAGACCAGCAAGCAAGGCAACUGCAAUGAAGCAUCAAGAAAGACAUGGACAUGCCAGCCACCCCGAGACUGAUAAUUCAUGAGAAGACAUUUCUGUCAAAGUGGAUGGUGAGCAAAGAUGGUGGCCACGUUUUGGAGCAGCACCUGGGUUUUGCAGAUGGCUAUGUAUUCUUUGGCUGCUUGUCUUUAUGUUUCUGUUGCCUAAAGAUUCUUUGUGAGGAUAAAUCACAACAAAAUGCACUGCAAACCGUCCUAAGA